AAGACUAUAGACCUGCGGAGUACCUGCGGAGGGAUCAUUACAUGGCGGAGGAGGUGGGCACCUAGUAAAAACAAAACCCUAGGUGUGUUGCCUACCACGCUUUCUACCCUUGUCUAUUUGCACCUUUUGUCGUUCCCUCGGUGGGUCUUGAACCUGCCGGCGGCAACUUUCAAAAACCUUUUGUAGUUAGUAUCUAAUUCUUCUGAUCAAAUAUUCAAUCGUUACAACUUUUAGCAACGG
Molecule: unclassified non-coding RNA, 240 nt
Filed under: soil metagenome
Description: partial contains 5.8S ribosomal RNA, internal transcribed spacer 2, and large subunit ribosomal RNA
Source: RNAcentral